GAGUUCCUAUGUACACAAAUCAUGAAGAUGUUGGGUGCAUGAGUGAUUUUACAAAAGAGUGUUGCACCACUCAACACAUUCAUCAUACCUCCUAUCAUAGGGAUUUGAUGCCUAAUAAUACCUAUUUUAGGCACCAACAAAGCACAAGGAUUUAAGCUCUUGCGAACCAAACCCUCAUCCAACAACUCCUUUACUUGAUGAAUAACCUCAAGCUCAAG
RNAcentral lists this long non-coding RNA (218 nucleotides) under Glycine max (soybean). RNAcentral's name for it is "long non-coding RNA (GMAX_LNC002774)". The record is from RNAcentral. Lineage: Eukaryota; Viridiplantae; Streptophyta; Magnoliopsida; Fabales; Fabaceae.